CCUACGGGAGGCAGCAGUGGGGAAUAUUGGGCAAUGGAGGAAACUCUGACCCAGCAACGCCGCGUGAAGGAUGAAGGUUUUCGGAUUGUAAACUUCUGUCGCGAGGGAUGAAGAAUGACGGUACCUGACUAAGAAGCCCCGGCUAACUACGUGCCAGCAGCCGCGGUAAUACGCAGGGGGCAAGCGUUAUCCGGAUUUACUGGGGGUAAAGGGAGCGUAGACGGCGAUGCAAGUCUGAAGUGAAAGGCGGGGGCCCAACCUCCGGACUGCGUUGGAAACUGUAUGGCUUGAGUGCAAGAGAGGUAAGUGGAAUUCCUGGUGUAGCGGUGAAAUGCGUAGAUAUUAGGAGGAACACCAGUGGCGAAGGCGGCUUACUGGACUGUAACUGACGUUGAGGCUCGAAAGCGUGGGGAGCGAACAGGAUUAGAUACCCGAGUAGUC
RNAcentral lists this ribosomal RNA (441 nucleotides) under uncultured bacterium. RNAcentral's name for it is "partial 16S ribosomal RNA". It matches the Rfam family "Bacterial small subunit ribosomal RNA", at positions 338 to 795 of the family's 1533-position model. The record is from RNAcentral.